UUUCCGUAGGUGAACCUGCGGAAGGAUCAUUACUGAGUGAGGGCCCCUCGGGGUCCAACCUCCCACCCGUGUUUAACGAACCUUGUUGCUUCGGCGGGCCCGCCUCACGGCCGCCGGGGCGCAUCUGCCCCCGGGCCCGCGCCGGCGGAAACCCCCUGUGAACACUGUCUGAAGUAUGCAGGCUGAAACAAUUAUUAAAUUAAUUAAAACUUUCAACAACGGAUCUCUUGGUUCCG
This 236-nucleotide unclassified non-coding RNA is filed under the name plant metagenome. RNAcentral describes it as "partial contains small subunit ribosomal RNA, internal transcribed spacer 1, and 5.8S ribosomal RNA". The record is from RNAcentral.